RNAcentral lists this ribosomal RNA (442 nucleotides) under uncultured prokaryote. RNAcentral's name for it is "bacterial SSU rRNA". It matches the Rfam family "Bacterial small subunit ribosomal RNA", at positions 355 to 796 of the family's 1533-position model. The record is from RNAcentral.
UUUCGAAUCAUUCACAAUGGGCGCAAGCCUGAUGGUGCAACGCCGCGUGGGGGAUGACGGCCUUCGGGUUGUAAACCCCUGUCACUGAGGACUAAACCUGCGUGAAGAGCGCAGCUGAAUUAACUCAGAGAGGAAGAGGUGGCUAACUCCGUGCCAGCAGCCGCGGUAAUACGGAGACCUCGAGCGUUACUCGGAUUUACUGGGCGUAAAGGGUCCGUAGGUGGACCUGUAUGUCGGGGGUGAAAUCUGGCGGCUCAACCGUCAACAUGCCUCCGAAACUACAGGUCUAGAGGACUGGAGAGGUAAGCAGAAUUCCAGGUGUAGCGGUGAAAUGCGUAGAUAUCUGGAGGAAUACCAACGGCGAAGGCAGCUUACUGGACAGAUCCUGACACUGAGGGACGAAAGCGCGGGGAGCGAAAGGGAUUAGAUACCCCCGUAGUCC